UGCAAUCUGUAGAAUACUGUAAAACAUGUGCAAGUCUUAUGCAACUUGGUUAUUUUAAACAUGAUCAUCAAGGUAUGAAAGUGUAAGGAUGUCAAAAAAAAGUUUUAAAAUGUAAACUUUUAGGCUGGUCUGCCUCAGUGGUCCAACAGCGCUUGUCAAUGUCAAAAUGAUCGAGAUGGCCAAUCAAAUCAAAAGGGCGGGUCUUACUGUCACUGUCACAAUGCAACAAGAGUUCAUGGAAAGAUCUGUUCGGACUCUCAUUCUGAUGGCACCUAUUCAUUGCAAAGGAUCCAUUGGUGAGCAAGUGAUGUAAUGCAAAAUUUCUCUGCAAAAAAAAAGUCUGUUCCAAUGAAUAAACAAACUGCAUCUUAGACAGCCUGAGGGUGAAUGAGGGCUCCAGCUGUGAGACGUACUCUGCUAAUCUCAGAUUCAGGGAUGCCACGGAGACGGGCGUACAGGUACAGGUGCUCCCUCCCAGUCAGAAGCUCAUCUAUGGCAUCAAACUGAGGACAGUAGCCCAUAUUCUG
Molecule: long non-coding RNA, 527 nt
Organism: Carassius gibelio (silver crucian carp)
Lineage: Eukaryota; Metazoa; Chordata; Actinopteri; Cypriniformes; Cyprinidae
Exons: 3
Source: RefSeq, a predicted model, not a curated record